CAUACCUAUUCGAAGGGAUAGGGUCGGUUUGGCCGGAUUUCACACAGGUGUUGCAUGGCUGUCGUCAGCUCGUGUCGUGAGAUGUUGGGUUAAGUCCCGCAACGAGCGCGACCCUCAUCCUUAGUUACCAUCAGGUUAUGCUGGGGACUUUAAGGAAACUGCCAGUGAUAAACUGGAGGAAGGUGGGGAUGAUGUCAAGUCAUCAUGGCCCUUAUGGAGUGGGCUACACACGUGCUACAAUGGUGAUUACAAUGGGCUGCAAGGUCGCAAGGCUGAGCUAAUCCUAAAAAAUCAUCUCAGUUCGGAUUGUUCUCUGCAACUCGAGAGCAUGAAGUUGGGAUCGCUAGUAAUCGUGGAUCAGCAUGCCACGGUGAAUACGUUCUCGGGUCUUGUACACACUGCCCGUCACGCCAUGGGAAUUGGUUUCACUCGAAGCU
RNAcentral lists this ribosomal RNA (437 nucleotides) under Wolbachia pipientis. RNAcentral's name for it is "bacterial SSU rRNA". It matches the Rfam family "Bacterial small subunit ribosomal RNA", at positions 992 to 1428 of the family's 1533-position model. The record is from RNAcentral. Lineage: Bacteria; Pseudomonadati; Pseudomonadota; Alphaproteobacteria; Rickettsiales; Anaplasmataceae.